AUCCAUUUGAAGUGUCCCAAAUAAGACGAAACGCGAGUCCUGGAU
Molecule: non-coding RNA, 45 nt
Filed under: Schistosoma mattheei
Lineage: Eukaryota; Metazoa; Platyhelminthes; Trematoda; Strigeidida; Schistosomatidae
Source: RNAcentral